ACAUACUUCUUCAUAUGCCCAUAUGGAGUCGGCUGGUAUUAUGGAAUGUUAAGAAGUAUGUAU
This 63-nucleotide microRNA precursor is filed under the name Alligator mississippiensis (American alligator). RNAcentral's name for it is "Ami-Mir-1-P4_pre stem-loop". It matches the Rfam family "mir-1 microRNA precursor family", at positions 10 to 70 of the family's 79-position model. From Rfam's summary of the family: This family represents the microRNA (miRNA) mir-1 family. miRNAs are transcribed as ~70nt precursors (modelled here) and subsequently processed by the Dicer enzyme to give a ~22nt product. In this case the mature sequence comes from the 3' arm of the precursor. Lineage: Eukaryota; Metazoa; Chordata; Crocodylia; Alligatoridae. The record is from RNAcentral.